RNAcentral lists this ribosomal RNA (900 nucleotides) under uncultured Acinetobacter sp. Its description in RNAcentral is "bacterial SSU rRNA". It matches the Rfam family "Bacterial small subunit ribosomal RNA", at positions 106 to 999 of the family's 1533-position model. Lineage: Bacteria; Pseudomonadati; Pseudomonadota; Gammaproteobacteria; Moraxellales; Moraxellaceae. The record is from RNAcentral.
GUGAGUAAUACUUAGGAAUCUGCCUAUUAAUGGGGGACAACAUCUCGAAAGGGAUGCUAAUACCGCAUACGCCCUACGGGGGAAAGCAGGGGAUCACUUGUGACCUCGCGUUAAUAGAUGAGCCUAAGUCGGAUUAGCUAGUUGGUGGGGUAAAGGCCUACCAAGGCGACGAUCUGUAGCGGGUCUGAGAGGAUGAUCCGCCACACUGGGACUGAGACACGGCCCAGACUCCUACGGGAGGCAGCAGUGGGGAAUAUUGGACAAUGGGGGGAACCCUGAUCCAGCCAUGCCGCGUGUGUGAAGAAGGCCUUAUGGUUGUAAAGCACUUUAAGCGAGGAGGAGGCUCUCUUGGUUAAUACCCAAGAAGAGUGGACGUUACUCGCAGAAUAAGCACCGGCUAACUCUGUGCCAGCAGCCGCGGUAAUACAGAGGGUGCGAGCGUUAAUCGGAUUUACUGGGCGUAAAGCGUGCGUAGGCGGCUUUUUAAGUCGGAUGUGAAAUCCCCGAGCUUAACUUGGGAAUUGCAUUCGAUACUGGGAAGCUAGAGUAUGGGAGAGGAUGGUAGAAUUCCAGGUGUAGCGGUGAAAUGCGUAGAGAUCCGGAGGAAUACCGAUGGCGAAGGCAGCCAUCUGGCCUAAUACUGACGCUGAGGUACGAAAGCAUGGGGAGCAAACAGGAUUAGAUACCCUGGUAGUCCAUGCCGUAAACGAUGUCUACUAGCCGUUGGGGCCUUUGAGGCUUUAGUGGCGCAGCUAACGCGAUAAGUAGACCGCCUGGGGAGUACGGUCGCAAGACUAAAACUCAAAUGAAUUGACGGGGGCCCGCACAAGCGGUGGAGCAUGUGGUUUAAUUCGAUGCAACGCGAAGAACCUUACCUGGUCUUGACAUAGUAAGACUUUC